CUGGCGGCGUGCCUAAUACAUGCAAGUCGAACGCACUCUCGUUUAGAUUGAAGGAGCUUGCUCCUGAUUGAUAAACAUUUGAGUGAGUGGCGGACGGGUGAGUAACACGUGGGUAACCUGCCCUAAAGUGGGGGAUAACAUUUGGAAACAGAUGCUAAUACCGCAUAAAACCUAACACCGCAUGGUGUAGGGUUGAAAGAUGGUUUCGGCUAUCACUUUAGGAUGGACCCGCGGUGCAUUAGUUAGUUGGUGAGGUAAAGGCUCACCAAGACCGUGAUGCAUAGCCGACCUGAGAGGGUAAUCGGCCACACUGGGACUGAGACACGGCCCAGACUCCUACGGGAGGCAGCAGUAGGGAAUCUUCCACAAUGGACGAAAGUCUGAUGGAGCAACGCCGCGUGAGUGAAGAAGGUUUCGGAUCGUAAAACUCUGUUGUUGGAGAAGAAUGUAUCUGAUAGUAACUGAUCAGGUAGUGACGGUAUCCAACCAGAAAGCCACGGCUAACUACGUG
This 511-nucleotide ribosomal RNA is filed under the name uncultured bacterium. Its description in RNAcentral is "bacterial SSU rRNA". It matches the Rfam family "Bacterial small subunit ribosomal RNA", at positions 36 to 507 of the family's 1533-position model. The record is from RNAcentral.